Dermacentor albipictus is the source of this 4303-nucleotide long non-coding RNA. RefSeq lists it as uncharacterized. The record is from RefSeq and is a predicted model, not a curated record. NCBI's taxonomy places the organism in Eukaryota, Metazoa, Arthropoda, Arachnida, Ixodida, Ixodidae.
AACCCUGGCUAUGGCGAAGCACGUUUCUAGGCCGGGUUUUGCGUCUAUUCGCACUUUUUUCUGCCCUGUUGCGAGUGAGAAAAGGCUCGUCACUUCUCACAGACCACGCUGCGAGCUCGCCGCAGCCUAUAGUUUAACUAAAACGGACUCUCCGUGUGGCGUGGGACGUAAUGCCAGGAGCAGAAGGAAUCGGUGACACCGAUCCGGAGAGACCUAGCCCAGCCUCGAAAAGGCGUCACCGUCAUUACUUCUGCGUCAUGGGCUGCCAUGAACAAGAAGCCUGAAUCCCAACAUCAGAUUCUACCGUUUUCCUUCAAGGCCUCACGAAGUGGAGCGUCGGGCGCGCUGCAUAGCUGCAGUUCGUCGCGCUGAGAAGAAGGACAAAAGCGAGAUUAUUGGUUUGCAAGCGGCACACGUCAAGCCAGAAGAAGCUCAGCGGUCACCAUAAUGACAUGUCUUCUUGAACUACAUGCCUCACCAUGAAAUGUUUGCGAAUUUACCAGAUAGAGGGCUGUCAGCACUAUCAGGAAAGCAGCAGUCUACAGUUUCGUGUCAUACCGAGCGGGAAUGCUAAAAUUUAACAUACAAGCUUACUUGAUUUUAAGGGCGUUUUACAACAAUCGGAGAAGUAACAAGUUGAGUACCAACUUGUUUCUUUUCUCGUCAUGUAGCAAGCUCCUACUUGGUAAUGCACAAACCCUGUCAUCUGCUAUUUGCAAAUCAGAUUGACGGGCAUUACCACCAAGUAUCACAUGCUUCCUCAUAGCGUUCAUUUGUUACAUGAAACUGCAAAGAAUUUUAAAGCCUUCAAAACUCCUCAGUGCAAUUUUGAGGAGAUAAUGCUUCAUGUUCACUGAAACUCUGGCAGUCACUCUUCACUUUAUUAUUCUAUUUUUUAUUUAAAGUACGCUCAGGGCCAUAUGCCAUUAAAGAGGGGAACCGGUACAAAGCAGUAGAGUAACGCAAACGAACAAGAGCAGCGAGUUCUGGUAAUACAAUAAUUCUCCUGAUUACACAGUGUCAGCUAAUGUUUUGUAAAAGAAGUUUGCUAUCGGUGAUGGCUACGAUACUUGAGGGAAGGUGGUUCCAUUCCUCAGAUGUAUGGGGGAUGAAAGAUUGAAAGAAAGACUUCGUGUAGCAAGAAUCAAUCCCUGUGUUACUGCGAUGAUCGAUGCAGUUUGAAAUGUACUUCAGGACGUGGUGCGGUAUUAAGUCGUCAUGAAGUGUGGUAUGAUGGAAAAUUUUAUGAAAUAGUGAAACAUGGCAACUGCGACGACUACCUAGGGGAAUAAGUGCUGGUUAGUUUCAUUAAGGUUAUACUCACAGUACUGUUAUAAUUAGAAAGAAUGAAAUGAGCAGAGUUAUUUUGUACUAGUUCAAGUGAAGUAAUAAGACUAAUGCAACUGAGAUGCCAUAUUGCAGAUGCAUAUUCAAGUUUGGGCGUAUUAGCGUUUUGUGAAGGGGUAGAUUUAAUGUAGACAGCGCUUUGGAAAAGUUGCACUGUAAGUACCCAAGCACGUGAAUAGCAUUGUUAAUGACAUACUCCAUAUUGAUCCAAUUUAAUUUAUUUGUAAUGUGUACACCAAUAUAUUUAUAGGACAUGGCGAAAUCUAAGGGAACAUUGUUAAGAUGGUAAAUGAUAGGAUUAGAAUUAGAUGUGGAUAUUGCAUUUUUCAUUUGUUUACUACAAAAGGCUCAUGUAGUUUCCAUGAAAUCAGUAACUAGGCUAGCCUGGCACCACAAGAGAUGGCUAGAACAAGCAACUUCACAUAACUGGCCUACUCCACACUUCUCAAACAUGACAAACCAAUAAAAUCAAUUUAUCUUUCUCUUCAAACAGGAGAUGACAUACCUGAGUUCAGUGUGUUCACAAAAAGGUUUUGGAAUAUACUCGAAGUUUGGCUUAACAUUCAGCCAAUCAGCAGUGGACGAGCAAGGGAAGCCUCAGCAUGGGAACUUAUCUUUGUUACAGCCCUCACAAAUGUGUGUGAUUGUUGAAACGUUGGAUACAGGCUGAAGCUUCCCUUGCUCACCUCUGUUACUCACCUGAAGCUUUCAUCUACUUGUAACGUUUUUGCAUUGUUUGAACAAGCAAACCGAGAUGUUUUUUCAACAAGAAACUGUAAAUUGCAUUUUACAAGGAUCUGUGGAAUUAGUUGCGCAUGCUUAUAUGUUUAUUUAGUGUCCUUGUUUAUACACAAUAUUUGCAGAGGUCUUUGUAAGCACUGUCAUCCCCAUAACGUUCCUCGCCCUCCUAUGAGUACUCCACUUGUGUGAAAGCCUUUACUGCUGCACCUGAACACUAAAUGUGCAGUAGAAAUAUCAAGAACACACAAUAUGCGAUCUAAAAUUGAGCAUAACAUUUAUACCCAUCUGCACUUCGUGCCUAUCGCCAAUGUUUAUGAAAACAAUGCGACAUUGAAGCUCGAGCUUACCUUACUGACAGUACAUCUUUGCCGAGCACUUAUGUUUCUUUUUUUAAUCUAGCUGAAAUGUCUGAAUCACGUCAAACAGCACUGUACGCAACACGAGUACAAGUGUAGCCGAGCACAAUAUCGUUGUACUUGCGUUAGCGGCACGCCAAACACCAUGAGAAAACUUCGCUCGAUUUCAGUUUUUAAUUCCAUUAAAUAGAUUACUAUCUAUGUUUCUGUAUGUUGUAAACUCAGUGAUUGACAGCAUUAGCUCCACCUGACCUGUACAAAAAUUGUGGGCAUGUACUGCUUUUCACGAUUGAGAACAAACAAUGUAAGCUUUCUUGUCUGACGUGUUCUUUUGCCACUUGAGGCCUCCCAGUCACCUAGCGAUUUAAUGGUAUCGGUAGUCAUUUUAGAGUAUCGUACACAUGAACACGGCUCCGAAAGCGGUAAAAAAACGCCCAAAACCAGGGAGCGAGCAGCGCAACGAACCCCACCAGCCCUACUGAAGCGGGCAAAUUGCUCACUACGUAAUGAUGAUGAUAUUAGGUUUGAUUUUGCCUGCACCAUUUCUCAGUCGCAUACUUCAGUUCACAAUGCCACCGCUAUUCUUAUUUUCAUUGCACCAUGGAAAGUACAGUUUUCCUUCUCUAAGUUUAUAUAGGUGUUCUGCUUUCAUGUUUUGUAGUUCCUUUAUUACUUUAUUAGGUCCUUUGUUGGGAGAUAUUACCUACUAGUUCCCUUACCUCCCACUUCAAUUGCUGUUUCUGAAAUGAGCCUAGUCUGCGUUUCAUUGAUUACCUCUACGUCAUAUUCAUCUUUAUUAUAAAGCUGCAUAUUUGUUUGCAAGCACCAGCCUUGACUGGUCCGCUUUUACCCUUACUGCAUCUAGGUUGGCCUGUUUCUUCUUGCCUAAAUUUGCUUUCUCUCAUCAUAUCAAGGAAAAUUUUAGACCUCACUAACCUAUGAUCACUGCUGAUUGAUGAAAAUUAUCUAAUUAGGCAGAAUGAAAUAACCUGAGUAUCUCCAUGCAAGAGCAAACAACAUUAAGUUGGUUCUGUCCAGCUACAUGGCAUUUGCAUGUUUUUAUUGCUUGGCUCAAGUUACGUGGAACACCCUGUAUAGUGAGGAUUCCCAACAUGGGUGCCAUGCUAGCAGACUACGGCUUCUCGCGGCAUUUCUGGUGCUCAUGAAUGUCUUUUGAAACUUCACAACUACAAACAGUCUAUGUAAAGGUACCCUAGAUAUUGGGGCAAGUACUUUUCUAUGGUGAAGGGCAUGUUUACAGUAAUUGAGAGCGGCUAACAGCAGAGCAGUACUGCUAUCUUAGUCAAGUUUUUCACAAAUGAAAUAGUUUUGGAUAGCACAAAGACAUACCUGGGAUGCCUCACAGUCAUUCACUGUACUUACCUUUAAGCGCCUAAUGAAUGAAUGUCCGCCAUGGCGGCUCAGAACCUAAGUUCUGCUAUUGGGCACGAGGUCACGGGUUUGAUUUGCAGCAACAACAGUCGCACUCUGAUGGGAGUGCAGUGCUAAAACACUCAUGUACCAAGCAUUAAUUGUGUGCACAUUAACAGAUCGCCCCUCAUAGUAUGUAUUGUGUUGGUGUGGGCCACCAAACCCCAUUCAUCAAUCACUGACGGCGAUCAUAAGUAGUCAGGUGUCUUUGCUUUGAAUAGCUAGCAAAAAACAUACUGCCGAUAUUCAGUCAAUAUUAGUUGAGGUCACCAGGAAGCUUUUAAACCACUUUAUUUCUACUAUCUGACACCUCAAAUUAUAUACAAUAAAACACAAGCAUGAGUAUAAAGAAAAUUGCAUUCCAAUGUAACUGGAUAAGUCAAAAGUGAUUGUGAACUAAGCAGAAUAAAAGCCAUUAAUAUUUCUGA